AGAGUUUGAUCAUGGCUCAGGAUGAACGCUGGCGGUGUGCCUAAUACAUGCAAGUCGAACAGGCUCUUCGGAGCUAGUGGCGGACGGGUGAGUAACACGUUGGUACCUACCCCUAAGUGGGGAAUAACUGCCCGAAAGGGUGGCUAAUACCGCAUAAUCCCGCAAGGGUAAAGCAGUAAUGCGCUUAGGGAGGGGCCUGCGUCUGAUUAGCUAGUUGGUAGUGUAAUGGACUACCAAGGCGACGAUCAGUAGCUGGAUCGAGAGGUUGACCAGCCACACUGGGACUGAGAUACGGCCCAGACUCCUACGGGAGGCAGCAGUAAGGAAUCUUCCACAAUGGACGAAAGUCUGAUGGAGCAACACCGCGUGCAGGAUGACGGCCUUCGGGUUGUAAACUGCUUUUAUAUAGGAAGAUUAUGACGGUACUAUAUGAAUAAGGACCGGCUAACUACGUGCCAGCAGCCGCGGUAAUACGUAGGGUCCAAGCGUUAUCCGGAAUCACUGGGCGUAAAGCGUGCGUAGGUGGCGUGUUAAGUGUGGUGUUAAAUCGUGGGGCUCAACCCUAUCGAUGCAUCGCAUACUGGCAUGCUAGAGGGAAGCAGAGGCAAGUGGAAUUUGUAGUGUAGCAGUGAAAUGCGUAGAUAUUACAAGGAACACCAAUGGCGAAGGCGCUUGCUGGGCUUCUUCUGACACUGAGGUACGAAAGCGUGGGGAGCGAACAGGAUUAGAUACCCUAGUAGUCC
RNAcentral lists this ribosomal RNA (743 nucleotides) under uncultured bacterium. Its description in RNAcentral is "bacterial SSU rRNA". It matches the Rfam family "Bacterial small subunit ribosomal RNA", at positions 8 to 796 of the family's 1533-position model. The record is from RNAcentral.